RNAcentral lists this ribosomal RNA (275 nucleotides) under uncultured bacterium. RNAcentral's name for it is "partial 16S ribosomal RNA". It matches the Rfam family "Bacterial small subunit ribosomal RNA", at positions 523 to 796 of the family's 1533-position model. The record is from RNAcentral.
AUACGUAGGGGGCAAGCGUUGUCCGGAAUUACUGGGCGUAAAGAGCUCGUAGGCGGCUCAGCAAGUCGGUCGUGAAAGCCCGAGGCUCAACCUCGGAACUGCGGUCGAUACUGCUGUGGCUAGAGUCCGGUAGAGGAGAGUGGAAUUCCCGGUGUAGCGGUGGAAUGCGCAGAUAUCGGGAGGAACACCAGUGGCGAAGGCGGCUCUCUGGGCCGGUACUGACGCUGAGGAGCGAAAGCGUGGGGAGCAAGCAGGAUUAGAUACCCCAGUAGUCC